This 1499-nucleotide long non-coding RNA is filed under the name Canis lupus familiaris (dog). RNAcentral describes it as "lncRNA (ENSCAFG00000057536.1)". The record is from RNAcentral. Lineage: Eukaryota; Metazoa; Chordata; Mammalia; Carnivora; Canidae.
AUGAGAGCCUCUCCUUUUUGCAGUGAAACUGGACCUGGGUCCUACGUCACUGCCCAAAGAGAUGGUGCUGGCUGUGUCACAGUAACCGCCCUGCGGGGGAAGAGCAGCGCUCAGACGGCUGCCGUGAGGUCGCUGCUGGGCUCUGGGCCGGAUGCCCGCGUGAAGGCCUUGAAAUGUCUCUAUCGCUCCUCAGUAGAAGAUCUACCUCCUCAGUGAGCCACACGAGAUCUCUUAACACCGGUUUGGAAUUUCCAGAAUCUCUAGGAAGAGCUCAUGCCUGAGUGAUGUUAUUAGGCCACUGCAUGGCAAGAAGAGAGGAAUGCAAAAGCACAUAUCAUUUCAACCUGUGAUAUUGGGUGUAUCCAAGAAUCUCCAUCAGAGAGCCCCAGGAAGAAUGUGCCAUUGCCUAGCAAGGGAGGAAGGAGGCUGGCUUCACAGGCCUGCCUGGUGAAAGGCGGUGUUCAGGCUGGCAGUAUUGGAAUGGCAUUUACACUGGACAACCAUGGGGUGUAUGUGCAGUAAACCAUGUCUGUGAGGCCCAAAGAGAGCAAGUGUUGUAGCAAGCCCUGCUGCUGAGCACAUGGUCCACAUUCCUCAUACAGGGGACAGCAUGAUACAUCCUCUCAGGGAGUAAUACUAGAAAGAUCCAUUUCUCUCCAGUCAAAAUGACCAUGAUCCCUUGAAUCAGGCAAAGGUAGGCUUUAUCCUUCCUGCGCCUCUACCUUGACUCCCCAAAAAAGAGUAAAAGUGAACUAUUUUUAGCCUGGUUUCUGGGAUAGCUAUCUCUCUUCACCCGCACCACCCCUCCUCCAUCUUCCUAUGGCAAUCAAAUGUUGUGUGGCAAUCAACAUUUAGGUCUAUACUUGCAGAUAUAUACAGUCCUACUCCGAAUACAUCUCUUAGGGUAAGUCAUACCACCCUCUCAAAGCAAGGAAAGAAGAGUUAAGCUGGAGGAUUUCCUGAGAGGUUAAUUCGAAGCUGAACUGUGAGGCUCAAGUUCCACUCUGAUUUACUUAAAUAAUUGAAAGGAUUUACUCCCUUCCCCUUACCCAGAACUGGAUGGACAAAAUAAAUGUUAAAAUUUGUUUGCUGAAGAGUUCAGUACAGAAGUUAAGAAGACACUAGAGUGUUUCCCAAAUACUGUGAGAGGGAGGGAAAGAGAAGGGGAAGGAAGGAGGACAGAAGAAGAAAAGAAGGAGCGAGAAAUAAGUUAUGGCCUAAGGACAUCACUUUAAACCACAGGUAGAGCCUAAGCCUAGAAUAACCGCUGUGUAGUGACCCUGGCCAAUUCUCCCCACCAGGUGCAUAAUACUGGCAUCGGGAGGCUCAGGCCUAGACUGGCAGAGCGACAAGUGAUCCAGGCCACAUCUCAGGAGUUGACAGCUGCCUAAAAGGUGCUGAGAAGCUAAUAAAGCCUAAAGAAAUUUGCUGAGUAUUUUUCAGACCCCUUCAUUGUAACGUCCAGUGGUGUCCAAUGAUCUUAAUUAUAUGUUGCAGAG